UGAUUUCAAUUGGCUUCGUUGGACUGCAGUAAUUAGGACUUAGCAAAACAAACACUCGAAAAUAAAAUAAAAAACAGCAAAACCUGCUGGUAAAAAGGUGGCGGAAAUAUCAAGAUAUGAAAAAUACCCUGUUUAAGCUAUACACAUAUAUCUGGAUAACAGUCAUUCCUGUCUUUACAAGCACUCCAGCAUCGUGAUAGAUGGCUCAGUAACAAGCGAUAUUAAAAAGUAGAAGUUGGAUCAUCGCCGGACACUUAAGAGAACAUGAUUUGCAGUGACUUGAGGAAUUGCCAUAGAAAUCAAAGACAUAACAUUCUGAAAGCUCGAUCGACAAUAUAAAAAACUCAACAUAUUCCAUAUAAAUACUUGGUAAUAAAUAUGGGGAAUUGCUUCUAGAGUUACACAAUAAGUAGAAAUGAAAAACAAAUGUAGAGAUUCUACAUUAUAAUAAAAAGUAUACUGAUUCUCUCAAUAUUUUGCAGUCUGACAAUCGAUUUUUC
Long non-coding RNA from Exaiptasia diaphana, 500 nucleotides. RefSeq lists it as uncharacterized. NCBI's taxonomy places the organism in Eukaryota, Metazoa, Cnidaria, Anthozoa, Actiniaria, Aiptasiidae. The transcript has 3 exons. The record is from RefSeq and is a predicted model, not a curated record.